AGAUUAGAUCCACCGCCUGAAUGUUUCAGCGCCUGCGCAGAUUGGGGAAAGUUCUGGAAGACAGCGGAGCUGCCGCCAUUUUGCUGGAAGAGGAGCAGCUCAGGCAGUAGUGCUGCUUUAACUGAUAAGACUCUGAAAGUCAUCUGUGCUUCGCGCCCUCCAGACACCCAGAGGAACGCAGAAAACCGGGACCCCCCCUGCGGGGAACCGGAACUGUGUUCGUUACCUAAAAGUAGCCCACUGGCAGGAUUUUAGGGAGCGUCACCCUCGUGGCUGUAUCCUUUACCGAUGAAGAUGCUGUUGGAAGGAUCCCAGUGACUUGGAUCCUUUUCCAAAUCCCUGCAGCCCUGUUAUGGGUCGCCCAUGCUGGGGAGGUUGCAGCCCUGUUUAGGGUCGCCCAUACUGGGGGAGGAAGCAGCGACCCACCGCGGCCUGAGAGAGUCGGUUUUCAGCCCCUAGUGCCACCAUUCAGAGAAAGAUGAGGGAAUUGAGAUUUUUUUCCUUAAUCUUCAGUUUCUGGAAGACUCGUUUCAUUGUGUUGUCCUCUGUGGGCUUUCCCCCGUUUUCCUUUGUGACUACGCUCUCCGUGGCAAAAGAGUAUAAUGAGGCCACAUAAUUUAGCAUCUGGGACAGUGGCCCUCGCAGAGGUGAUGCCAAUCGGUUACUUACGGGACCAUUUUUUAAAGCGUAUCCUUAGCUUGUUACACAACAUGGGGGCAUGUUCUUAUCUUUCUCAUUGUUCCUGUUCUUAAUUAAGCUGCCUUCAGUUUGGCGAUAUUUGUACCCAGCUCAGUGACCGGACCCAGGAGAUGGCGCUACCAUCACCCCUGGGACUCCCAGCGUUUGGUGGAUUCUGCCUUGAACUUGGCUGACAGUUGUUCUUCACUCUCCUUUGCUCCUGCAGCAGUGGGGCCUAAGUGCUGGCUUGGGUCUUUACUGGACUAUGACAAGGUCCAGGCACUGCCAUGAUUGUGGACCCCUAACGCAGUUUUUGCAGCAGGGAUGGAAGAAUGCUCUAGUGGUUUAAUGGUUGGGAUUGAGUGGACCUUGACCCAUCCGCUACAAUGGCAUCUGAUGACUUCGAUAUAGUGAUUGAGGCCAUGCUGGAGGCUCCCUAUAAAAAAGAAGAGGAUGAGCAGCAAAGCAAAGAGGUUAAAAAGGACGGCCCUGGCAACACCUCCCCCAGCACUGGCAACAAUGACAGUGGGAGCAGCAGC
Hipposideros armiger (great roundleaf bat) is the source of this 1217-nucleotide long non-coding RNA. RefSeq lists it as uncharacterized. NCBI's taxonomy places the organism in Eukaryota, Metazoa, Chordata, Mammalia, Chiroptera, Hipposideridae. The transcript has 4 exons. The record is from RefSeq and is a predicted model, not a curated record.